GCUCGCUUAGCUCAGCUGGUAGAGCAAUGGACUGUUAAUCCAUGUGUCGCAGGUUCAAAACCUGCAGCGGGCG
This 73-nucleotide transfer RNA is filed under the name Treponema sp. RNAcentral's name for it is "tRNA-Asn". It matches the Rfam family "tRNA". Rfam says of the family: Transfer RNA (tRNA) molecules are approximately 80 nucleotides in length. The record is from RNAcentral. Lineage: Bacteria; Pseudomonadati; Spirochaetota; Spirochaetia; Treponematales; Treponemataceae. RNAcentral also lists the same sequence under 3 other names.